UACGGGAGUGGCAAGCGUUAUCCGGAAUUAUUGGGCGUAAAGCGUCCGCAGGCGGUCUUGUAAGUCUGUUGUUAAAGCGUGGAGCUUAACUCCAUUUCAGCAAUGGAAACUGUAAGACUAGAGUGUGGUAGGGGCAGAGGGAAUUCCCGGUGUAGCGGUGAAAUGCGUAGAUAUCGGGAAGAACACCAGUGGCGAAGGCGCUCUGCUGGGCCAUAACUGACGCUCAUGGACGAAAGCCAGGGGAGCGAAAGGGAUUAGAUACCCCUGUAGUCCUGGCCGUAAACGAUGAACACUAGGUGUCGGGGGAAUCGACCCCCUCGGUGUCGUAGCCAACGCGUUAAGUGUUCCGCCUGGGGAGUACGCACGCAAGUGUGAAACUCAAAGGAAUUGACGGGGGCCCGCACAAGCGGUGGAGUAUGUGGUUUAAUUCGAUGCAACGCGAAGAACCUUACCAGGGUUUGACAUCCUGCGAAUCUCUUGGAAACGAGAGAGUGCCUUCGGGAACGCAGUGACAGGUGGUGCAUGGCUGUCGUCAGCUCGUGUCGUGAGAUGUUGGGUUAAGUCCCGCAACGAGCGCAACCCACGUCGUUAGUUGCCAGCAUUUAGUUGGGCACUCUAGCGAGACCGCCGGUGAUAAACCGGAGGAAGGUGUGGAUGACGUCAAGUCAUCAUGCCCUUUACAUCCUGGGCUACACACGUACUACAAUGCUACGGACAAAGGGCAGCAAACUCGCGAGAGCUAGCAAAUCCCAUAAACCGUGGCUCAGUUCAGAUCGUAGGCUGCAACUCGCCUACGUGAAGGAGGAAUCGCUAGUAAUCGCAGGUCAGCAUACUGCGGUGAAUACGUUCCCGGGCCU
This 857-nucleotide ribosomal RNA is filed under the name uncultured bacterium. RNAcentral describes it as "SSU rRNA". It matches the Rfam family "Bacterial small subunit ribosomal RNA", at positions 524 to 1381 of the family's 1533-position model. The record is from RNAcentral.